RNAcentral lists this ribosomal RNA (305 nucleotides) under uncultured bacterium. Its description in RNAcentral is "bacterial SSU rRNA". It matches the Rfam family "Bacterial small subunit ribosomal RNA", at positions 333 to 634 of the family's 1533-position model. The record is from RNAcentral.
UGAUCCCUACGGGGGGCAGCAGUGAGGAAUAUUGGUCAAUGGGCUUACGCCUGAACCAGCCAAGUCGCGUGAGGGAAGACUGCCCUAUGGGUUGUAAACCUCUUUUGUCAGGGAGCAACGCCGGCUACGUGUAGCCGGACUGAGAGUACCUGAAGAAAAAGCAUCGGCUAACUCCGUGCCAGCAGCCGCGGUAAUACGUAGGGUGCGAGCGUUAAUCGGAAUUACUGGGCGUAAAGGGUGUGCAGGCGGCUGAGUAAGACAGAUGUGAAAUCCCCGGGCUUAACCUGGGAACCGCAUAUGUGACU